This 408-nucleotide long non-coding RNA is filed under the name Olea europaea subsp. europaea. The record is from RNAcentral. Lineage: Eukaryota; Viridiplantae; Streptophyta; Magnoliopsida; Lamiales; Oleaceae.
ACCUCACGACUGUAAUUAGUGAGGUUAACCUGGUGCAGUCUAACCCAAAGGAGUGGUGGCUGGACACUAGGGCCACUUGCCAUGUCUGCUCCAACAGUAGCAUGUUCACUACUUUCGCACCAGUUACAAAUGGUGAAAAUAUGUUCAUGGGAAACUCUGCAACUUCUGAAGUGCUUGGUAAAGGCAAGGUGAUCCUGAAGAUGACAUCUGGCAAAGAGCUUACUCUGACUAAUGUGCUGUACGUGCCAGAGAUUCGCAAGAAUCUGGUCUUUAGGUCUCUUCUGAGCAAGAAUAGGUUCCACAUGGUCUUUGAGGUGGAUAAGCUGGUGAUUACCAAAAUAGGAGUUUAUGUUGGGAAAGGCUAUAUGACUGAUGGCCUGUUUAAAUUGAAUGUAAUUGCUGUAACCU